This 253-nucleotide ribosomal RNA is filed under the name uncultured bacterium. Its description in RNAcentral is "partial 16S ribosomal RNA". It matches the Rfam family "Bacterial small subunit ribosomal RNA", at positions 524 to 776 of the family's 1533-position model. The record is from RNAcentral.
UACAGAGGGUGCUAACGUUGUUCGGAAUCACUGGGCUUAAAGCGCACGUAGGCGGCUAGGCAAGUGCGAUGUGAAAGCCCCCGGCCCAACCGGGGAACUGCAUCGUAGACUGCCUGGCUUGAGAGCGGUAGGGGAGACUAGAACUCCUGGUGGAGCGGUGAAAUGCGUAGAUAUCGGGAGGAACACCAGUGGCGAAGGCGACUACCUGGCCUGUUCUUGACGCUGAGGCGCGAAAGCUAGGGGAGCAAACGGG